Molecule: ribosomal RNA, 254 nt
Filed under: uncultured bacterium
Lineage: Bacteria
Description: partial 16S ribosomal RNA
Rfam family: Bacterial small subunit ribosomal RNA
Source: RNAcentral
UACGGUAGGGUGUAAGCGUUAUCCGGAUUCACUGGGUUUAAAGGGUGCGUAGGCGGGCAGGUAAGUCAGUGGUGAAAUCCUGGAGCUCAACUCCAGAACUGCCAUUGAUACUAUCUGUCUUGAAUAUUGUGGAGGUAAGCGGAAUAUGUCAUGUAGCGGUGAAAUGCUUAGAUAUGACAUAGAACACCCAUUGCGAAGGCAGCUUACUACGCAUAUAUUGACGCUGAGGCACGAAAGCGUGGGGAUCAAACAGG